GGAUGUACCUCAGUGGUAGGGCAUCUGCACUGCAUGCAUAAGGUCCCAGGUUCGAUCCCUGCCAGCUUCA
Podarcis lilfordi (Lilford's wall lizard) is the source of this 70-nucleotide non-coding RNA. The record is from the annotation of a GenBank genome assembly. Lineage: Eukaryota; Metazoa; Chordata; Lepidosauria; Squamata; Lacertidae.